This 250-nucleotide ribosomal RNA is filed under the name Micromonospora sp. ATA51. RNAcentral describes it as "partial 23S ribosomal RNA". It matches the Rfam family "Bacterial large subunit ribosomal RNA", at positions 1279 to 1456 of the family's 2925-position model. The record is from RNAcentral. Lineage: Bacteria; Bacillati; Actinomycetota; Actinomycetes; Micromonosporales; Micromonosporaceae.
GCGGCACGAGUGAGAAUGCAGGCAUGAGUAGCGAAAGAAGGGUGAGAAACCCUUCCGCCGGAUGACCAAGGGUUCCAGGGCCAGGCUAAUCCGCCCUGGUGAGUCGGGACCUAAGGCGAGGCCGAGAGGCGUAGUCGAUGGACAACGGGUUGAUAUUGAGCAGCGAGAAGGUGGCGAUGCCGGCGCGGCGCAGCCGUUCGGCGAGGAUCCCGGCGUGCUCGCGGACACUGACCCGGACCAUGUGCACGUG